GUGAGUCCCUGGGAUGGAACCUGCACUCGCUGCUUGACCCAUGGCUGGGUUCCUGGACAAGUCACCUGAUCUUGUGGAACCCAAGUUUCUCCACCUCUAAAUGGAACACACUAAAUUGUUAUGAGUGAGCAUCAGAGGAAAUCAAGAGUGUGUGAUUUAGCUCUGCAUGCAACGGGCUCUGUAGAUAAUUUUCAUUGCAGUUAUUUUGACUUCACUUUGGUGAGUCGACUACCCCAGGUUUUGAAAUGAACACAGGGAGGCAGAAUACGUGUUGUAAUCCCAGGCUACAGUUCUGGAGCCUUUAUUGAAGGAGAAGACAUUUUUUAUUUGUAAGAAUGAAAAACGGAAGGCGGGGAGCCUAUGUGGCAUGGAAUUCAAGAAAUGGAGCAACUGGCCACUGGCGAUGGGAAGGCCCAUGGCAGAUUCUGCAAAUCUCUCUGGAGUUUCUGCUUGAGUUCCUGUUCGCCGCUGUGAGCCCCUCACUCUUUCGUUGCUGAGACACCUUCACCAUGGCUCAGGAGGCCACAUGCUAUUCCUCAGGUGGCGGAGGGCAGAGACCGAGGGAGUCGGUAAAAAGGAGAGGGCUGGAAAAUUCCUCUUAGCAUAAGAAUAAACAGUGAUUUGAAUAUUCAGUUGUGAGGGUUAUAAAUAACUGUGAGUUUUCAUUGACGUGUAAGCGGUGAUACAUUUUGUACAAUAAUUAGUUAUUUGAUUACUUUUGUUUUAGCCUGAAGUAGAGGACAAUUGACAAAUGUGAAUACCUCUGAGACUGAUGGGGCGCAGUAAACUAACUUUAUUUAUUACAAAAUGCAAUUUUAUUAAUAUGAAUUGACAGUAAUUAAUUUGCUGGUGUUGAUGUUGUUAAUAAUUGCAUGUAAUUUAUGAAAUAUUCAUGCUAGAGCAGAAUAAAAUAAUGCACGGGUCCUCUGGCUUGUUUGUUAAGUCUGUGAAUAUUUCAACAAAGCCUUUCUAAUUCAAUGUAUUCAUAGUACAGUGGUUUAAAAUCCCACAAAAUUACCAAAAAUAUUUUAAUUUCUUAUUUGAGUGUUUCUUAACUCAACUUCCAGGCAUGUCCAGG
This 1078-nucleotide long non-coding RNA is filed under the name Homo sapiens (human). RNAcentral's name for it is "HSALNT0360414". Lineage: Eukaryota; Metazoa; Chordata; Mammalia; Primates; Hominidae. The record is from RNAcentral.